RNAcentral lists this long non-coding RNA (223 nucleotides) under Bos taurus (domestic cattle). RNAcentral's name for it is "long non-coding RNA NONBTAT002932". Lineage: Eukaryota; Metazoa; Chordata; Mammalia; Artiodactyla; Bovidae. The record is from RNAcentral.
AGAGAGCCCUUAGGCCCAGAGAAGAAAAGCUGAAGUGAGACCUUGUCUAACUUGUCAUCCUUUGUUAAUAGCAUAAAGGGUUCCCUGCAUUCUAAUUGUUUCUCUUAAAUGACAUGGUUGAAAUUUUCACAGCUGAGAAAUAUCAUUAUUAAAAGACUUAAUUGGAAAAGCUAUGCUGACUCCAGACUCCGGUGGGUUGAAUUGUAACCUUUUCUUUUUCUAU